RNAcentral lists this signal recognition particle RNA (264 nucleotides) under Chloroflexota bacterium. Its description in RNAcentral is "Chloroflexi bacterium signal recognition particle sRNA large type". It matches the Rfam family "Bacterial large signal recognition particle RNA". Rfam says of the family: The signal recognition particle (SRP) is a universally conserved ribonucleoprotein involved in the co-translational targeting of proteins to membranes. Lineage: Bacteria; Bacillati; Chloroflexota. The record is from RNAcentral.
UCGUGCUAGGUGGGGAGGUAGCGGUGCCCUGUACUCGCAAUCCGCUCUAGCGAGACUGAACUCCUCCGAGAGGGCGCGUGCCUGAUGCCUCUGUCGGUGGUAUCCGAUGUUGAGAGUUGGGUCCUGCGCGGCGGAUGGCCGCGAAUCCCGUCAGAUCCGGAAGGAAGCAGCGGUAAGGGGUAUAUUCCGGGUGCCGUAGGUCAGCCUGGCUCGAGUCGGUUUCACCUGAUACGCUGAAGGCAGCGAACGAACGGGGGUGCACGG